AGAGAGAGAGAGAGAAGGUGAGAAGAAGAUAUGAUUUCAGAUAGAAAGAGUAAAAGCUGUGAUAUCUAUCUGUACGAGUAUAUGUGUAUCCGGUUGACUACAAGGGAGAUGCAGAGACAGAUGGAAAGAUUCAGAGAGCGCGAGAAGCUGAAAAAUAGAGAAGAAAAGGGUGUUUCAUGGGAAUCGGUGACCAUGACCAUGGCCAAUGGCUGACCCUUAAAGAGUAAAUUAUAAUUUAACCUUUAACCUUUGUUUGGAUCAAGGGAAUUAAGGAAAUGAGUGAGAAAUUAAUCAAGACAAAUAAGGAAGAAA
This 312-nucleotide unclassified non-coding RNA is filed under the name Hevea brasiliensis (rubber tree). Lineage: Eukaryota; Viridiplantae; Streptophyta; Magnoliopsida; Malpighiales; Euphorbiaceae. The record is from RNAcentral.